Molecule: long non-coding RNA, 101 nt
Organism: Sinocyclocheilus rhinocerous
Lineage: Eukaryota; Metazoa; Chordata; Actinopteri; Cypriniformes; Cyprinidae
Exons: 3
Source: RefSeq, a predicted model, not a curated record
CUUAAUUUACUUGUUUUAUAUUAAGAGAUUUACGUUUUAGACAGCAUAUUGGUUGUUUUUGCUCUAUUUCUCCAACAAAAAUCAUACCAAACACAGCCACA